This 160-nucleotide non-coding RNA is filed under the name uncultured Alterileibacterium sp. RNAcentral describes it as "Lysine riboswitch". It matches the Rfam family "Lysine riboswitch aptamer". From Rfam's summary of the family: Riboswitches are metabolite binding domains within certain messenger RNAs that serve as precision sensors for their corresponding targets. The record is from RNAcentral. Lineage: Bacteria; Bacillati; Bacillota; Clostridia; Peptostreptococcales; Anaerovoracaceae.
CGAUAGAGGUUGCGGUAUUCAAGAGUAACAAUUAUGAAAUUCCGGGAAGGAAGUGAUUGCGAAAGGGGAGACCGCCGAAGAGUAAAUAUUUCCCGAUAUUUAUUCUGGGACGUGGUAAUAAGAUGCUGCGUACUGUCACAACUUAUGUGGAGCGCUAUCA